RNAcentral lists this ribosomal RNA (253 nucleotides) under uncultured bacterium. Its description in RNAcentral is "partial 16S ribosomal RNA". It matches the Rfam family "Bacterial small subunit ribosomal RNA", at positions 524 to 776 of the family's 1533-position model. The record is from RNAcentral.
UACGUAGGGUCCGAGCGUUGUCCGGAAUUACUGGGCGUAAAGAGCUCGUAGGCGGUCUGUCGCGUCGAAUGUGAAAACCCGGGGCUCAACUCCGGGCUUGCAUUCGAUACGGGCAGGCUAGAGUUCGGUAGGGGAGUCUGGAAUUCCUGGUGUAGCGGUGAAAUGCGCAGAUAUCAGGAGGAACACCGGUGGCGAAGGCGGGACUCUGGGCCGAUACUGACGCUGAGGAGCGAAAGCGUGGGGAGCGAACAGG